RNAcentral lists this ribosomal RNA (772 nucleotides) under Microbacteriaceae bacterium. Its description in RNAcentral is "bacterial SSU rRNA". It matches the Rfam family "Bacterial small subunit ribosomal RNA", at positions 43 to 824 of the family's 1533-position model. The record is from RNAcentral. Lineage: Bacteria; Bacillati; Actinomycetota; Actinomycetes; Micrococcales; Microbacteriaceae.
CGUGCUUAACACAUGCAAGUCGAACGAUGAAGGAAGAAGCUUGCUUCUUCUGGAUUAGUGGCGAACGGGUGAGUAACACGUGAGCAAUCUGCCCUUGACUCUGGGAUAAGCGUUGGAAACGACGUCUAAUACCGGAUACGACCCUCGGAGGCAUCUCCUGGGGGUGGAAAGAAUUUUGGUCAAGGAUGAGCUCGCGGCCUAUCAGCUUGUUGGUGAGGUAAUGGCUCACCAAGGCGACGACGGGUAGCCGGCCUGAGAGGGUGACCGGCCACACUGGGACUGAGACACGGCCCAGACUCCUACGGGAGGCAGCAGUGGGGAAUAUUGCACAAUGGGCGAAAGCCUGAUGCAGCAACGCCGCGUGAGGGAUGACGGCCUUCGGGUUGUAAACCUCUUUUAGUAGGGAAGAAGCGAAAGUGACGGUACCUGCAGAAAAAGCACCGGCUAACUACGUGCCAGCAGCCGCGGUAAUACGUAGGGUGCAAGCGUUGUCCGGAAUUAUUGGGCGUAAAGAGCUCGUAGGCGGUUUGUCGCGUCUGCUGUGAAAUCUGGGGGCUCAACCCCCAGCCUGCAGUGGGUACGGGCAGACUAGAGUGCGGUAGGGGAGAUUGGAAUUCCUGGUGUAGCGGUGGAAUGCGCAGAUAUCAGGAGGAACACCGAUGGCGAAGGCAGAUCUCUGGGCCGUAACUGACGCUGAGGAGCGAAAGCAUGGGGAGCGAACAGGAUUAGAUACCCUGGUAGUCCAUGCCGUAAACGUUGGGAACUAGAUGUG